RNAcentral lists this ribosomal RNA (567 nucleotides) under uncultured archaeon. RNAcentral describes it as "bacterial SSU rRNA". It matches the Rfam family "Archaeal small subunit ribosomal RNA", at positions 326 to 897 of the family's 1478-position model. The record is from RNAcentral.
CGGGGUGCAGCAGGCGCGAAAACUUUACAAUGCUGGAAACAGCGAUAAGGGGACCUCGAGUGCCAGGUUACAAAUCUGGCUGUCGUGAUGCCUAAAAAGCAUUGCAUAGCAAGGGCCGGGCAAGACCGGUGCCAGCCGCCGCGGUAACACCGGCGGCUCGAGUGGUAACCGUUAUUAUUGGGUCUAAAGGGUCUGUAGCCGGCCGGAUAAGUCUCUUGGGAAAUCCAGCAGCUCAACUGUUGGGCUUUCAGGAGAUACUGUCUGGCUCGAGGCCGGGAGAGGUGAGAGGUACUUCAGGGGUAGGGGUGAAAUCUUGUAAUCCUUGAAGGACCACCAGUGGCGAAGGCGUCUCACCAGAACGGACCUGACGGCAAGGGACGAAAGCUAGGGGCACGAACCGGAUUAGAUACCCGGGUAGUCCUAGCCGUAAACGAUACUCGCUAGGUGUCGGCCACGGUGCGACCGUUGUCGGUGCCGUAGGGAAGCCGUGAAGCGAGCCACCUGGGAAGUACGGCCGCAAGGCUGAAACUUAAAGGAAUUGGCGGGGGAGCACAAGGGCGAUUCGCG